RNAcentral lists this ribosomal RNA (398 nucleotides) under uncultured bacterium. RNAcentral describes it as "bacterial SSU rRNA". It matches the Rfam family "Bacterial small subunit ribosomal RNA", at positions 29 to 429 of the family's 1533-position model. The record is from RNAcentral.
AUUGAACGCUGGCGGAAUGCUUUACACAUGCAAGUCGAGCGGCAGCGCGGGGGCAACCCUGGCGGCGAGCGGCGAACGGGUGAGUAACAUAUCGGAACGUACCCCGUCGUGGGGGAUAACACAGCGAAAGCUGUGCUAAUACCGCAUACGACCUGAGGGUGAAAGCGGGGGAUCGCAAGACCUCGCGCGAUGGGAGCGGCCGAUAUCGGAUUAGCUUGUUGGUGAGGUAAAGGCUCACCAAGGCGACGAUCCGUAGCUGGUCUGAGAGGACGACCAGCCACACUGGAACUGAGACACGGUCCAGACUCCUACGGGAGGCAGCAGUGGGGAAUUUUGGACAAAUGGGGGGCAACCCUGAUCCAGCCAUUCCGCAUGAGUGAAGAAGGCCUCGGUGUAAG